UGUGUGACUGAGUGGGAGUGACCUCGUCCAGAGCCCAUUUAAAACUCUUCGUCCUCUUUGGAGUUCACUAUUUCAACAACAACUGGAGUUUUGCACCUUCUCACGCAGUAAAGAGUUAAAGAUGGAUUUCUGGGCAGAGAGCCAAGGGCAUUUGCCUCAAUACAGCAAAUACAACACUCUACCUUCAAGGAGCUGCUCACAAAACUACCACGACAGACGUCCACCACCUCAAUAUCAAGUCUACUGUGAAGACCAGAGGGGAAAAAACAUUGAUUCGGGAUAUUACUGGCCUCCAAGGGACACCUCAAACUGGUCAAACCAGGAAACCACUGCUCUAACAUCUCCUGUACAUUUCCCCUUUAACCUAGAUCAUCAAAUUCAACAUUACCACAGCGACCAGCGUCAAGAACUUCAAGACUGGACAAUUUAUCAACACCAAGAGAGGGGGUUUCAACACGAGGGGUGGUCCUACAACCCUGCUCACUACAAACGUGAAAUUUCCAAGAAGAAUGACAACAAUUUUAGGGAGUUGGAGGCUUGGGCAUUGCGCUAUAGUCACUCACUACCAAGGAGGAGACGCAUAGAGGCAGGACUGAGAGGCGCAAUGCAAGAUAAUCUAGAAAGAAGAGAUAUACAAAUGACAAAUGUGCAAGAAUCAACAUUGCGGGAUAGGGUGAGCAGGCAGCAAGCGAUUAACUGUUAUCAAACUAUGCCACAGAGACAGAAUUUGGAG
This is a long non-coding RNA of Periophthalmus magnuspinnatus, 733 nucleotides long. RefSeq lists it as uncharacterized. The record is from RefSeq and is a predicted model, not a curated record. Lineage: Eukaryota; Metazoa; Chordata; Actinopteri; Gobiiformes; Gobiidae. The transcript has 3 exons.